GGCCUUUAUUUUUCCCUCGUCGCUCCCUAUAUUCGUUUCGUCGGCUUGACCGACUAUGGCGAUAAACAGGCGAUGAAAUAAGCCGUUCGGACCCGGGGGCGGUACCCGGCGCCUCCACCAAAAACCGCUCUGGCCGACAGAGCGGCUUUUGCUGGGGGCGAAAUAGGAUCGACGAAGGUGUAAAGAUCGUACUUUUGCCCGGCAUUGUACCACCGUUAUCGGGCUAAACUUAUAGUUGCCAACGACAACUAUGCGGAAGCUCGUCUCGCUGCUUAAUGCGGCGCGAACGCUUCAAAUCAAGUCCUAGCGGUUCGCACUUCUAGGCGGGGUUCGGAGGUACCUGGCAACAGAAACCUCCACC
RNAcentral lists this transfer-messenger RNA (361 nucleotides) under Mesorhizobium sp. LCM 4577. It matches the Rfam family "Alphaproteobacteria transfer-messenger RNA". Rfam says of the family: Bacterial tmRNA, also known as 10Sa RNA or SsrA, is named for its dual tRNA and mRNA-like properties. Lineage: Bacteria; Pseudomonadati; Pseudomonadota; Alphaproteobacteria; Hyphomicrobiales; Phyllobacteriaceae. RNAcentral also lists the same sequence under 1 other name. The record is from RNAcentral.